GUCCUAUUUGUGUUAAAACCAUUACUCAUAUAUAACAGUGCAUUAGUAUUAGCUGUAGCCAGCCACCACCCCCUUCCCUUCUGCAGGGAGCAAUAAAUUGGCAAAGGGCAGGAGGGGAAGGAGCAGCCAAUGUGAUCCCUACAACCGCAACCCACUGUGCACCUGACCCAGGGCUCUCAUGUUGCCUAGGAAGUGAGUGACCUCCCCUAGGGCACCUUGGCCACUUCAGGAAGGAAGAGCAGAUUUUAAUAUGGGGCACAGCUUACGUCAUAUUUGUUGGUACAUCCCAGGGCAUCCUGGAUUUGUCAGAGGAAAAACCAAGUAAGACCAGAGGGGAAAACGACACAAGAUAACAGAAUUUUAGAAAUCACACACAUUGAUGAGUACGUGUAUAUACAUUUUUUUCUUUUUGAUGGUGGGCAGACAGGGAAUCAACACUUAAGGGAUUAAUAAUUUAAAUAAUAACACAAAUGGAAAACGCUGAAAUGAUAAAAACAAAAAUUCCAAAGCGGAGACCUGGGAGAGGGCAGGGCCUGAGUGGUGAGGGGAGCUCCCUUCCUCAGCAGACCUUGCCGAGGCCUGCAUUUUCUCCCUGCUACCGGAGGCAGAUCUGGGAACCUCCACAGCCGCCCUCUGUGACCUCCUCAGCCCCAGGAGGGGACAGCACAGCCGGUGGCCACUGCCGUUUCUACACUUGCUAAGGAAACAAAUGCCCUGCCUGGUGCUCUUGCCUUAAGUAUUCUGCGUUCCAUUGCUAAAGUUGCCCAGAGGUGAACUGGUAUCCUCCACCACAUGCUCCUGCCAUGAUGUGCUGUGCUGCCACAGGCCCAAAGCAACAGGGCCCAUUAGUCACGGAUUGAAACCUCUGAGGUUGUGUCAUCUUUGUGGUCACAGGAUAUGUAUUAUUUGGUAAGUUCAGUUUGCAGUAAUUUAUGGUGGUUUUUUUUCUUACUGGAAUUUAGGAAAGAUUUUGUAAUGCAGCAAUGAUAUUGGGUUCAGAAAAAAUAA
Heterocephalus glaber (naked mole-rat) is the source of this 1008-nucleotide long non-coding RNA. NCBI's taxonomy places the organism in Eukaryota, Metazoa, Chordata, Mammalia, Rodentia, Bathyergidae. The record is from Ensembl.